RNAcentral lists this ribosomal RNA (242 nucleotides) under uncultured bacterium. RNAcentral describes it as "partial 16S ribosomal RNA". It matches the Rfam family "Bacterial small subunit ribosomal RNA", at positions 92 to 334 of the family's 1533-position model. The record is from RNAcentral.
AAAGUGGCGAACGGGUGAGUAACGCGUGAGCAACCUGCCUUACACAAAGGGAUAGCCUCGGGAAACCGUGAUUAAUACCAUAUGAGACUUUAGAGACGAAUGUAUCAGAAGUUAAAGAUUUAUCGGUGUAAGAUGGGCUCGCGUCUGAUUAGCUAGUUGGUGAGAUAAAAGCUCACCAAGGCGACGAUCAGUAACCGGCUUGAGAGAGUGAACGGUCACAUUGGAACUGAGACACGGUCCAA